This 31-nucleotide non-coding RNA is filed under the name Homo sapiens (human). The record is from RNAcentral. Lineage: Eukaryota; Metazoa; Chordata; Mammalia; Primates; Hominidae.
UUCCAAAUCAAGAUGGACUCGCAGGAGACUA